UUGAUCAUGGCUCAGAUUGAACGCUGGCGGCAGGCCUAACACAUGCAAGUCGAGCGAAUGAGGGUAGCUUGCUACCUGAUUUAGCGGCGGACGGGUGAGUAAUGUAUAGGGAGCUGCCCGAUAGAGGGGGAUACCAGUUGGAAACGACUGUUAAUACCGCAUAAUGUCUACGGACCAAAGUGUGGGACCUUCGGGCCACAUACUAUCGGAUGCACCUAUAUGGGAUUAGCUAGUUGGUGGGGUAAUGGCUCACCAAGGCGACGAUCCCUAGCUGGUUUGAGAGGAUGAUCAGCCACACUGGGACUGAGACACGGCCCAGACUCCUACGGGAGGCAGCAGUGGGGAAUAUUGGACAAUGGGCGCAAGCCUGAUCCAGCCAUGCCGCGUGUGUGAAGAAGGCCUUCGGGUUGUAAAGCACUUUCAGCGAGGAGGAAGGGGUAUGUGUUAAUAGCGCAUAUUCUUGACGUUACUCGCAGAAGAAGCACCGGCUAA
This 492-nucleotide ribosomal RNA is filed under the name Rheinheimera baltica. RNAcentral's name for it is "bacterial SSU rRNA". It matches the Rfam family "Bacterial small subunit ribosomal RNA", at positions 13 to 500 of the family's 1533-position model. Lineage: Bacteria; Pseudomonadati; Pseudomonadota; Gammaproteobacteria; Chromatiales; Chromatiaceae. The record is from RNAcentral.